Molecule: non-coding RNA, 1664 nt
Organism: Anas platyrhynchos (mallard)
Lineage: Eukaryota; Metazoa; Chordata; Aves; Anseriformes; Anatidae
Source: RefSeq, a predicted model, not a curated record
UUAGCGCGUUCGGCUGUUAACCGAAAGGUUGGUGGUUCGAGCCCACCCAGGGACGCAGAGGGGGCUCUUUUGGAAAACAACUGCACAGAGGACAGAUGCUGCUAAUUAACGCUAAUUACUCUGAGCAGCCCCACACGGGAUCUCCCCACCCUUCUUCCAUGGUUAAAGGGAUUUAUUUAAGCCCAGCCCUGGUUAUUUGGCCACUUGACUCUGGAGGAGCAUCUAUGGAAUGUGGCUUUAUCUUGCUGGGGGUGGAUGCAAAGCCUUUCAGGAGCCACCAGCUGUUGCUGUGUCCUGAUAAAAUACCCAUAACAAGGGCCUGCAGGUCUGAUUUAGGCUGAAAAUGUGAGCCGAAAGGUUAAAUAAAGCAUCUGCUUUUGCUAAAACAAUUUUGGGGAGAAGGGAGUUAAUUUACCCUUAAAGGAUGGGAACAACGCAAGAAAAAAAAUCAGAGGUGCUGCAACAAAGCAACCAGGACCACCCCAACCAGUCCUGGCCGAUGCAGAAGACAAAGGAGAUCCUCUAGAUGGAGAUCGGGGUCCCCGUGGGAGGAUGGCAAGCGUGUUGGGGCGAGCUCUUGGAACCAUCUGCUGGAUUUUCACCUUCCACCAGCCCUUACGGUGGGGCUGGAGCUGGAGAAACUGCAAAUGUGAUGCAAGGAGGUGUCCUCCAAGAAGGUCCCUAGGGGAAGCUGAGCUUGCAGAUGGGUUUCCAUUGCUCCCUACGCACCUGGGCACAUCCCAGUCCCAUUUGCGAGGAAGAUCUCUCACUGCCAGAGCAAGUUGCACAGGAUCAUGAAAUACUUUUGCUGGAGAAAUGGAGAUUUGAGGCUGGUGCCCUCAGGAUGUGACACAAAAGGCACCCAGCAGAUGUAGGCAAACCCAGCCACCAAAGACAAAAGGCAAGCAGGAGAAAGCAGCACGACACCCCCAAAGUCCAGAGGAGAAUCACUCACCCGUCCCAGCCAUGGUUCCUGGAGGAAGGCAAGCCUUCCGCUGAGAUUAUUUUCAUUUUAUACCCCGGCUUAAAAAAAAAAAAAAAGAGGUAACACGGCGGUGGUGGCUCAAAAAAAAAAAAAAAUCAACUCUGCCAAUCAGUUCACCCCGGAAGAGGGCAAAGUGUGGUAUGUCAUAAGAAGGGGAAGAAGCAAUUGCAUGUACACUCAGUUCCCCUGUAUGUAUUUUUUUUUUUUUUUUUUUUUUUUUACUCCCGGCUGUUUGGUCAUGAGCCAUCAAUUUACGGGACAUUAUUGUGAGUUGUGAUCGUUGUGAUCAUCAGAACAGACAAAAGGUGACCGCACCCUUCUCUGUGAUGAACAGAGAGCUUCCUACUGGGAAAACAUCUGGCUUGGGUUUUCCUCCCCUACACCGCAGCCCCCUUAAACUAUACGUAGAUAUUAUCAUUCAUCUCUCGCCGCAUGGAGACCUGCAAGGUAGCAUCCAAAAUAUCCUUUCUGGUGGCAUUUCCGGGUGGUCAUUCAACAAUUCACUCUUAAUUACUGCAUAAUUUUAGUUGUGUUGAUCCUGGCCAUGUUAGCAUAGAGGGAACCAAGAGAUGCCUGAAAUGGUAAAAAAAAAUGGGUUGUAAUGGUAUUAUUUUUUUCCAUAAUCGAGAACUUUGUGUAGCUAAGAGACCAUAACCCCAUAAACCAGCCUGAAGAAAGG